RNAcentral lists this non-coding RNA (29 nucleotides) under Rattus norvegicus (Norway rat). Lineage: Eukaryota; Metazoa; Chordata; Mammalia; Rodentia; Muridae. The record is from RNAcentral.
UCUCAUGGAGGAGGUAUUCCCUCAACUGA